Non-coding RNA from Pelobates cultripes (western spadefoot toad), 82 nucleotides. Lineage: Eukaryota; Metazoa; Chordata; Amphibia; Anura; Pelobatidae. The record is from the annotation of a GenBank genome assembly.
AUGCUUAAACUCCUUUACUGUGUUAACCUCCAGCCUUCCAGCUGAAGUGGUAGAGGUUAACACAGUAAAGGAGUUUAAGCAU